CUGGUAUGACGGAGCGGCGAACGGGUGAGUAACGCGUGAGCAACCUGCCCCACAGACCGGGACAGCCCAGGGAAACUUGGAUUAAUACCGGAUGACCUCGGAGGAUCGCAUGAUCCAUCGAGGAAAUGCCUUUGUGCUGUGGGAUGGGCUCGCGACUUAUCAGCUAGUUGGUGGGGUAACGGCCUACCAAGGCGUCGACGAGUAGCUGGUCUGAGAGGACGAUCAGCCACACUGGGACUGAGACACGGCCCAGACUCCUACGGGAGGCAGCAGCAGGGAAUCUUGCGCAAUGGACGAAAGUCUGACGCAGCAACGCCGCGUGGGGGAUGAAGGCCUUCGGGUUGUAAACCCCUUUCAGGAGGGAAGAAAUUGACGGUACCUCCAAAAGAAGCACCGGCCAACUACGUGCCAGCAGCCGCGGUAAUACGUAGGGUGCGAGCGUUAUCCGGAAUCAUUGGGCGUAAAGAGCUCGUAGGCGGUUCAGCAAGUCGGCUGUGAAAUUUCGAGGCUCAACCUCGAAACUGCAGUCGAAACUGCUGUGACUCGAGUCCGGUAGAGGAGAAUGGAAUUCCCGGUGUAGCGGUGAAAUGCGCAGAUAUCGGGAGGAACACCAGUAGCGAAGGCGGUUCUCUGGGCCGGCACUGACGCUGAGGAGCGAAAGCGUGGGUAGCAAACAGGAUUAGAUACCCUGGUAGUCCACGCCGUAAACGUUGGAUACUAGGUGUGGCGUCCCGAUUAACGGUCGCCGUGCCGAAGCUAACGCAUUAAGUAUCCCGCCUGGGGAGUACGGCCGCAAGGCUAAAACUCAAAGGAAUUGACGGGUCCCCGCACAAGCGGCGGAGCAUGCGGCUUAAUUCGAUGCAACCCGAAGAACCUUACCUGGGUUUGACAUCACGGGAAAAGCUGUAGAAAUACAGUGUCCAUUAGGGCCCGUGACAGGUGGUGCAUGGCUGUCGUCAGCUCGUGUCGUGAGAUGUUGGGUUAAGUCCCGCAACGAGCGCAACCCUUAUCCUAUGUUGCCAGCGGUUCGGCCGGGGACUCAUAGGAGACUGCCGGGGAUAACUCGGAGGAAGGUGAGGACGACGUCAAGUCAUCAUGCCCCUUAUAUCCAGGGCUGCACGCAUGCUACAAUGGUCGGUACAACGGGCAGCGAUCUCGUGAGAGUGAGCGAAUCCCUUAAGCCGGCCCAGUUCGGAUUGAAGUCUGCAACUCGACUUCAUGAACC
Molecule: ribosomal RNA, 1225 nt
Filed under: uncultured bacterium
Lineage: Bacteria
Description: bacterial SSU rRNA
Rfam family: Bacterial small subunit ribosomal RNA
Source: RNAcentral